This is a non-coding RNA of Ictidomys tridecemlineatus (thirteen-lined ground squirrel), 72 nucleotides long. The record is from Rfam. NCBI's taxonomy places the organism in Eukaryota, Metazoa, Chordata, Mammalia, Rodentia, Sciuridae.
AGGGAUGUGGCUCAGAGGUAGAGUGCUUACCUAGCAUGUGUGAGGCACUGGGUUCAAUUCUCAGCACCACAU